CGUAGCUCAGUUGGCAGAGCGGUGGACUGUAGCGGUUAAAUAACAGUUAUCCAUCGGUCACUGGUUCGAUUCCGGUC
RNAcentral lists this transfer RNA (77 nucleotides) under Fragilariopsis kerguelensis. It matches the Rfam family "tRNA", at positions 7 to 64 of the family's 71-position model. From Rfam's summary of the family: Transfer RNA (tRNA) molecules are approximately 80 nucleotides in length. Their secondary structure includes four short double-helical elements and three loops (D, anti-codon, and T loops). Lineage: Eukaryota; Bacillariophyta; Bacillariophyceae; Bacillariales; Bacillariaceae. The record is from RNAcentral.